RNAcentral lists this long non-coding RNA (5194 nucleotides) under Canis lupus familiaris (dog). RNAcentral's name for it is "lncRNA (ENSCAFG00000055551.1)". The record is from RNAcentral. Lineage: Eukaryota; Metazoa; Chordata; Mammalia; Carnivora; Canidae.
UUUUUUUUUUAAUUUUUUUUUGUAUCUAGGUUUUCUAAAUGAGUGAUACCUUUUUCCUAACAUUUACUCCCCCUCCCCCCGUGAACAAGCACAGCACUUACCUCAACCUCAUAGUAGCUUUGUAACAGAAGAAUUUAUAGUUGAAGAACUUAAGAUUUUAUGGGAAAAUAGGGUUGAAAAAUGUAAGAUUUGGAUCAAAACAAUGAAAGCAAUGGCAAUCUUACUUUUAUAUUUAUAUAGUAUUUAUAUUUUUUUAUUUUUAUACAACAGCAAGAAUUUUUAAAAGUCCAUUCCAAAUUAUAUACCUAAAAUUGAUCAUAGUGAUUACUAUGCACUUAAUUUGCUGACUUGGAGAUAACAAUGACAUAUUUCCUCCAAUACCUAGAUUCGUGGUAAGAAACAGAGAAAAAAGGGAAGGAGGAGUUUCCCCUCAGUCUUCCUGGCCCCACUAUUACAAGGCCUCGGGGAUCUUCCCUAUAGCUAUACGAGGACAAAGCUAGGGCUCAUGCUGCUCUCCUCUCCCCUCAUUCUUUAGAAGAAUGAAUUAGGAUCUGACAGGAUGGAUUUGUUUAAAAAAAAGAAAAACGGGCAGCCUGGGUGGCUCAGCGGUUUAGCUCUGCCUUCAGCCCAGGGCGUGAUCCUGGAGACCGGGAUGGAGUCUCAGGUCAGGCUCCCGGUAUGGAGCCUGCUUCUCCCUCUGCCUGUGUCUCUGCCUCUAUCUCUCUCUCAUGAAUAAAUAAAUAAAAUCUUAAAAAAAAAAAAAGAAAAGAAAAGAAAAACUACUUAGAAUUAGCUCUUCUUUGCACAAACUAAAUGGAAAAAUCCAGGAAUAGAAAUUAUAUUCUCUAAAGGGAUAAUAAAAACACUAGCCUCAUGAGGGUUAAGUGAAAUAAUUCAUGUAAAAUAACUAGCACAGUGCUGGGCACAGAAUAAACGCUCAGGUAAUGUUAUAUUAUUUGUAAUUUUUGUUGUUGUUAAAAGGAAAUGUUAGUAUAAAGACUUGCCCAAGGUCCUUCCUGAAAUACCUUCUGUGCUUUCCCCUUUCCAUACUUGUUCUUUAAAAUUCCCCUUGUUUGGGGUUAUCCUCCACCCAAGUUUUUCUCACAUCUUAUUUUGUCUGGCAAAUCCUUAUUCAAACAACAAAAUAGUAGUAGGGGAAAAAAAGAGAGAGACGGUAUCUAUUUUCCCCUUCUCAAGUCUUUCCCUUCCUAAGCUCGUGACAGUUAAAUGUAGAAUAAUGAGGAGGAACAUCUUAUACUAGAAAUAAAACUCUCACAAUUGACAAAAAGGGAUUACAAAUAUAUCCAAAUUUACUGAAAUUUCAAAUUAUGAGAACUCAUAUUCAGAUAGGCAUCACUCAGAGUAAUUGUUAAGUGUUAUAUAAGUGGGUUAACGUUUUUCUCAUUUUAACCAAAAAUUAAAUCUAUUAAUUUAUGCAACAAACAUUUGUCAGGGCCCUACCAUAUGCCAAGCACUGUUGCCUAGCAUGGGGAUCCAAAAGUGAACAGGAAGCAUGUAAUUUCUACUUUCACAGAGUUUAUAAUGUAGUAGACAUACAAACAUGUAAGACUUUUAUCAUUUGGUAUAAAAGUAUGAGAAAUCUAAGAGAAGAUAUUAAAGGACAGAUGAAUGGCAGCACACAGAAGGGCUAACUAAUCCAGGCUUCAAGUUGGAGCAGUGAUCAGAAAGAAAUGGUAGGAUUGAUGAAGCCUGAAGAAUGAAUGAAAGUCAGCCAAAGAAGGAGAAAAGGGAAAGGAUUUCAGGCGAAUGUAAAAAAUAGAGCUUGGGAGAACCUAGCAUAUUUGAGGAACUGAGAGAAAUUCAGUACAAUAUGACUAAAGCCUGAAACACAUAUUUGGUCAGAGAGUGUGUGGGGGCAGAGGGAGUAUAUAUAGGUGGAGAGAAAAGGAGCAGUGAGAGCUGAAGGUGGACAUAUUAGCAGCAGCAACAAGUGGCCAUGAUCUUAUGAAGUUUGGGAUUAAGACUACCGGCAAGUGCAUACAUUUAAAGGCUUUAAGCAGGGAAGUAAUAAAUCAGAUUUGCACUUAAAAUGAUUAACUCAGGGGCACCUGGGUUGCUCGGUUGGUUAAGUGUCUGCCUUAAGCUCAGGUCAUGAUCCCAGCAUCCUGGGAUGGAGCCCAGCAUCAGAUUCUCUGAUCAGUGGGGAGCCUGCUUCCUCUCCCUCUGCCUGCUGCUCCCCCUGCUUGUGCUCUUUCUGUCAAAUAAUUUUUUUUAAAAGAACAUUUUUAAAAAUUGAUUAAUCCACUGCGGCAUGGAAAAUGGAUAGAGAAUAAUUAAGAGGUUGUUGCAGUAAGUUAGCUUAUUCUAUUUCUUUUUUAACUUUAAUGUUUCCCUCUCUGAUGAUACCUUACUAUGGGCAUUUAUAAAUCCUCAUGUCUUUCCCAUCUAAAACUAAACCCACCCACUCACUCUCUCAUUGCUCAUCGCCCUACAGUUACUAUUCUAUCUCUCAUAUUAUAUUAUAGUCCCAUUUUUUCAAGUUCUUUCUUCAAAUAACUCCAUGUGGCUCAUGUUUCACUUUCCCCAGAGUCUCAUCUCUAACUAGAGGCUCUCUCUGCGCUUCAUAUAUAACAACACUCACUUCUCUAGCUCUGACAUUUCCUAACCCCAUCACAAUCUGAUAAUGUGGGCAAGGCACUAUGCUAAGGUCAUGACAGCCAUAGGAUGAGUGAAGAAAGUGACACGUAAAAGGCUAACUUGUCAAAGGUCACAAAAUUAGAUAAAUAUAGGUGUCAGAAUUGAAUAUCAGAUAAGCUCAUGAUAUCACAAAGUUGAGGGAGGACAAAUCUAAAACCUACCUUCUAAAAAACUAAAUAAAUAAAUAAAUAAACAAACAAACAAAUAAAAAUAAAACCUACCUUCUUUUCUCUUCAAAGAGAAGACAAAGUCAUCCACUAAGAAUAAAAGAAAGGCAAUGAGACAGGAAAUUUGAGGUGAAUAAGGCCUAAAAUAAUUCCAGGAAAGUAUUAAAGAACUACUAGGCACAAUUAAGGACCCAGAUGAAUCAGAAACUACGGAUUUAUGGGAACCAUGACCCAUAUGAUUUUUCCUCUGAAAUACAAGUGAAAAGGCAAAUUAAGGCAUACAGUUAGAAUAAUGGUUUUCAACAAAAAAGGAUAGGACAGACAAUUUUGUCCCUUUGCGAAAUGUGGCAAUAUCAGGAGACAAUCUGGUUGUCACAAUAUACAGGAAAGAGCUUGCUACUGGCCUCUACCGGAUGCUGUUACAAUCUGACAAUACACAAGACAGCCUCCUACCACAAAGAAUUAUCUGGUCCAAAGCAUUAACAGGUGUGAAACUCUGGAAUAGAACAAUCCAGGUUGGGAGAUUUUCUAGGCACAUGAACAGAAAGGCAACAAGACAAGGAAACUAAAGACAGCUGACUGGUUAAGGGGACAGAUUCUGAAGGUACGUAAAGGAAAAUUUUAGUCUGUGAGAGGCCUUGGAGAGCAUCACCAAUGAGAAAGGCAAAAUGGCCUCUAUCUGAAAUACCUGAAUGGGAGACAUGUCACAAUGAGAGGACAUUCCUAUUGGGCAAGUGCAGAGGUUGGAAAAUCUAAAGUGCACCAAGGAGACAGAUGGUUAGCCUAGAAAAGGCAGUGAUGGAUAAUAAGGUCAGAAGUUCUCAAGCCAAUCUAUGAAGUCCUUCUAUGCCAGACUGCUGGCCAAGAAAUCUACUGAUGUUUUUAAAAAGGAAAUAGCAAAGAUGGGAAUAAUAGUUCAGGAAGACAGAUCUAGAAAGGCAAGCAUUUGAGAUUAAUUAGGGCAGGAGACGAAGAAACUAUUUAUUAAAUUACUAUAGUUAUGUAGGAAUAAUGUGAUAAAGGCUUUGACACUCUUCGACCUUGAAUAAGAAAGGAGAUAAAACUAUCAUUUAUCGUGAAUCUGUGUGAAACCAGCAGGAUUUUAGUAUACAUCAAAUUCAUCAUGCCAUUUAUUCCUCACUUAUAAUUUAGAAAAGAUAUAUUAUUCCCAUUUUACAGACGACAUGGAGAGGUGAAAGGAAGUGCAUAUGGUCAUAGAGCAUGGAUGACAGAACUAGGAUUCACUCCACAAUGACCUAAUUCCAAAAUUCUACUUUUAGGAACUGGUAUAAUAGAAAGUAUAACUUUUUUUCUUUUUUAAAGAGAGUGCUGGAAAUGGGUUUGUAUGUUUGCAUACAUUUAUUUGAUAAUCUUAGUACUCUAUAGUCAGAGCAUGAAUUCAUAUACAUGAACAUUUCUUUAAAUGGACAGAAGGCCCUCCUAGUAUGCCCUGCUUUCAAACCACAAAGUGGGGAUCCAUCAGACCAGAAGAGUAGUCCAGGUGCAUCCUCCUUAGAGCCAAGAAAACAGCAUUUUUAAAUGGCAUUUUAAGCAAUAAUGUUCUAAAGCUACCUCAAAUUAAGGCUUCGGGAAAGAACUAUGGUGCCUAAAAGAAAAUAUAAAAUGCACAUUAGAAAAAAAAGAGGUAACUAUCCUAACAUUUCCAUGAAAAGCCAUUAAGCCCAGCUUCUUUUCAAAAUGGGUUGAAAGUGAAUCUUAAAAAAAAAAAAAAAAAAAACACAAAAAACACAGCUGUCCUGUAUUUAAAGGCAAUACUAACACUACAGUAGGAACACAUUCUCGGAGGUGAUCACAACCAUUUAAUUAGGACAGCAGUAAACAGAGAAAAUAGGAAAAGAGUUUUAUAUAACCUACUUUACGUGAAUAAGUUGGGAUUAACUAUUCUUUUCCCAUCAUUUGAUAACUAAAGAUACAUUACAGUUAUGCUAUAAAAUAGUUUAUGUUGUGGGAAGCUGAGAAAGUGGAUUGGGUGUUUUAAGGGAGGUCGAGGGGGCUUUAGAGCAUUGGUAACAUGCUGUUUCUUACUCUAGGCACUGCUUAUAUGAGUGUGUUCAGUUGUGAAAAUUCAUUGAGAUACAUAUUUAACAUAUAUACUCUUUUCUGUGUGUAUAGUGUGCUUCAAUAAAAAAAAAAAUUGUAGUUGCUGCAAAAAACUAUGUGUGAGGAACCUGACAGAUAGAUGGAAGGUAUAUCAUAUUCAAUUCCUUAAAAAUAAAAGAAAAUAAAGAUGUAGUGGAAAUAACUGAAUAAGAGAAUGAGAAGGAUAGAAGGCUGUGAUCAGUGUGGGAUCAAAUUCAUGAUUUUAGAGCUGGAAGAUUCAAGGUAACUUACAGGACUACCAUUUGUCC